GUGCUCUCUUUGGCAGCACAUAUACUAAAAUUGGAAUGAUACAGAGUAUAUUAGCAUGGCUCUUGUCCAAGGAUGACACAUAAAUUCAUGAAGCAUUCCAUAUUAAA
This is a small nuclear RNA of Nycticebus coucang (slow loris), 107 nucleotides long. The record is from RefSeq and is a predicted model, not a curated record. NCBI's taxonomy places the organism in Eukaryota, Metazoa, Chordata, Mammalia, Primates, Lorisidae.